RNAcentral lists this ribosomal RNA (492 nucleotides) under uncultured bacterium. Its description in RNAcentral is "partial 16S ribosomal RNA". It matches the Rfam family "Bacterial small subunit ribosomal RNA", at positions 29 to 507 of the family's 1533-position model. The record is from RNAcentral.
AGUGAACGCUGGCGGUAGGCCUAACACAUGCAAGUCGAACGGCAGCACAGUAAGAGCUUGCUCUUACGGGUGGCGAGUGGCGGACGGGUGAGGAAUACAUCGGAAUCUACUUUUUCGUGGGGGAUAACGUAGGGAAACUUACGCUAAUACCGCAUACGACCUACGGGUGAAAGCAGGGGAUCUUCGGACCUUGCGCGAUUGAAUGAGCCGAUGUCGGAUUAGCUAGUUGGCGGGGUAAAGGCCCACCAAGGCGACGAUCCGUAGCUGGUCUGAGAAGAUGAUCAGCCACACUGGAACUGAGACACGGUCCAGACUCCUACGGGAGGCAGCAGUGGGGAAUAUUGGACAAUGGGCGCAAGCCUGAUCCAGCCAUACCGCGUGGGUGAAGAAGGCCUUCGGGUUGUAAAGCCCAUUUGUUGGGAAAGAAAAGCAGCAGGUUAAUACCCCGCUGUUCUGACGGUACCCAAAGAAUAAGCACCGGCUAACUUCGUG